UGGGGAAUUUUGGACAAUGGGCGAAAGCCUGAUCCAGCCAUGCCGCGUGCAGGAUGAAGGCCUUCGGGUUGUAAACUGCUUUUGUACGGAACGAAAAGCCUCUUUCUAAUAAAGAGGGGUCAUGACGGUACCGUAAGAAUAAGCACCGGCUAACUACGUGCCAGCAGCCGCGGUAAUACGUAGGGUGCAAGCGUUAAUCGGAAUUACUGGGCGUAAAGCGUGCGCAGGCGGUUUUGUAAGACAGAGGUGAAAUCCCCGGGCUCAACCUGGGAACUGCCUUUGUGACUGCAAGGCUGGAGUGCGGCAGAGGGGGAUGGAAUUCCGCGUGUAGCAGUGAAAUGCGUAGAUAUGCGGAGGAACACCGAUGGCGAAGGCAAUCCCCUGGGCCUGCACCUGACGCUCAUGCACGAAAGCGUGGGGAGCAAACAGGAUUAGAUACCCUGGUAGUCCACGCCCUAAACGAUGUCAACUGGUUGUUGGGUCUUCACUGACUCAGUAACGAAGCUAACGCGUGAAGUUGACCGCCUGGGGAGUACGCCGCAAGGUUGAAACUUAAAGGAAUUGACGGGGUC
Molecule: ribosomal RNA, 572 nt
Filed under: uncultured bacterium
Lineage: Bacteria
Description: partial 16S ribosomal RNA
Rfam family: Bacterial small subunit ribosomal RNA
Source: RNAcentral